GAAUGCUGACAUAAGUAACGAUAAAGCGGGUGAAAAGCCCGCUCGCCGGAAGACCAAGGGUUCCUGUCCAACGUUAAUCGGGGCAGGGUGAGUCGACCCCUAAGGCGAGGCCGAAAGGCGUAGUCGAUGGGAAACGGGUUAAUAUUCCCGUACUUGGUGUUACUGCGAAGGGGGGACGGAGAAGGCUAUGUUGGCCGGGCGACGGUUGUCCCGGUUUAAGCGUGUAGGUGUGUGUUCCAGGUAAAUCCGGUUCACUUUAACACUGAGGCGUGACGACGAGGCACUACGGUGCUGAAGCAACAAAUGCCCUGCUUCCAGGAAAAGCCUCUAAGCAUCAGGUAACAUCAAAUCGUACCCCAAACCGACACAGGUGGUCAGGUAGAGAAUACCAAGGCGCUUGAGAGAACUCGGGUGAAGGAACUAGGCAAAAUGGUGCCGUAACUUCGGGAGAAGGCACGCUGACACGUAGGUGAAGUGAUUUACUCAUGGAGCUGAAGUCAGUCGAAGAUACCAGCUGGCUGCAACUGUUUAUUAAAAACACAGCACUGUGCAAACACGAAAGUGGACGUAUACGGUGUGACGCCUGCCCGGUGCCGGAAGGUUAAUUGAU
RNAcentral lists this ribosomal RNA (610 nucleotides) under Salmonella enterica. RNAcentral describes it as "partial 23S ribosomal RNA". It matches the Rfam family "Bacterial large subunit ribosomal RNA", at positions 1292 to 1885 of the family's 2925-position model. Lineage: Bacteria; Pseudomonadati; Pseudomonadota; Gammaproteobacteria; Enterobacterales; Enterobacteriaceae. The record is from RNAcentral.